RNAcentral lists this ribosomal RNA (465 nucleotides) under uncultured bacterium. RNAcentral describes it as "partial 16S ribosomal RNA". It matches the Rfam family "Bacterial small subunit ribosomal RNA", at positions 28 to 507 of the family's 1533-position model. The record is from RNAcentral.
GACGAACGCUGGCGGCGUGCUUAAUACAUGCAAGUCGAACGGAAAGGCCCCUUUGGGGGUACUCGAGUGGCGCACGGGUGAGUAACACGUGAGUAACCUGCCCUUGACUUCGGGAUAACUUCAGGAAACUGGGGCUAAUACCGGAUAGGAAUCCUUGCUGCAUGGUGGGGGUUGGAAAGCUUCGGCGGUUUUGGAUGGACUCGCGGCUUAUCAGCUUGUUGGUGGGGUAGUGGCUUACCAAGGCUUUGACGGGUAGCCGGCCUGAGAGGGCGACCGGCCACAUUGGGACUGAGAUACGGCCCAGACUCCUACGGGAGGCAGCAGUGGGGAAUAUUGCACAAUGGGCGGAAGCCUGAUGCAGCAACGCCGCGUGCGGGAUGAUGGCCUUCGGGUUGUAAACCGCUUUCAGCAGGGGCGAAGCUUGUGGUGACGGUACCUGCAGAAGAAGCACCGGCUAACUACGUG